This 722-nucleotide long non-coding RNA is filed under the name Triticum aestivum (bread wheat). RNAcentral describes it as "long non-coding RNA (TAES_LNC018453)". The record is from RNAcentral. Lineage: Eukaryota; Viridiplantae; Streptophyta; Magnoliopsida; Poales; Poaceae.
GUCGUUGCUAUCUCUGCUAUCUUUAUGUUGGCGCUCCUCAUGUCUUGUGGUAAGAAAAAGAGAUAUGUUGCUAACUUCAAUAUACGAAGCUUCAGGCUAAUGAUCUCUUCCAUAUUUUGCUUCGUCCUUUUGACUAUCUGGAAUAAUAUCUUUAUUUUAUUUGAUUUAUUUAUCUAGAUACAGUUCAAGGGGAGUGCAAAAGGACGGAGGUCAAUACUAAUUUACCAUGUCGUAACCCCCAGAUAUGUCGUCGGUGGUGCUAUUCCGGCAAAUUCACCGGCGGCGGGUACUGCGAAAUUCAGGGUGAUAGAGCAUUUUGCGUGUGCGUGGGUUGUACGCCGCCAACAUAAAAUUGCUCAAAGUGAUCCAGAGCAAAGAAGAUCUUGCACCGGAAGGAGUUAUAUCAGGGAGAUCUGCGACUUUGCCCGCUUAAAUUUUUCAAGCAUUUCUUUUUCUUUCCUCACACGGGCGUGUAAUAAAGUAGCACAUUACCUUGCGGCGUAUGGCUCACGGUCCCAGGUCGGCCGCCAAGUUUUGGCGGAAAGCCUGCCCGACGAUGUAAACGUUUGGAUGGCCAGCUUUGUUGCUGAGCCUGUGUGAUUUAUGGAAUGAGAUGUGUUCCAUCUAAAAAAAAACAUCAAAUUCCUAGAGUUUGUAUCGAUGAGUUUUUUGGAAAAUAAAUAAAGUACAUGUAUCUAUCAAUAAUGAUGCUGAAAGUCCCC